This 119-nucleotide ribosomal RNA is filed under the name Pteropus alecto (black flying fox). The record is from RNAcentral. Lineage: Eukaryota; Metazoa; Chordata; Mammalia; Chiroptera; Pteropodidae.
AUCUACAGCCAUGCUACCCUGAACAAGCCCAAUCCCCUCUGAUCUCGGAAGCUAAGCAGGGUCGGGCCUGGUUAGUACUUGGAUGGGAGAACAUCUAGGAAGACCAGGUGCUGUAGGCA